Non-coding RNA from Camellia sinensis, 2197 nucleotides. The record is from RefSeq and is a predicted model, not a curated record. NCBI's taxonomy places the organism in Eukaryota, Viridiplantae, Streptophyta, Magnoliopsida, Ericales, Theaceae.
GCAAUGGGACUCCCUCUUCGUUUGAACCUCUCUCCGAUCUCCCUCUCCCCAUACAUAUACGCCCAAAUCGAAGAUACAUAUGGCAUAUGGAUGGCCAGAGGUCAUACCUCUCGAAUCUGGUCCUUGUCCUUCUUCCGAGCGGAUCAUCUAUUUCAAACUCACCGAUCGCCUCUUGCUCGUUGUCGGUCAUCCCAGCACAUGGUGAAACUGGGGUAGUAGAAGAGAGAUUCAGACUCAAUGCAAAGAGGAGGAGAGAAUAUACAGGCAGUCUGGAGUCCGUAAGCCAAAUUGAUUGCCGUUCUUCAGAGGAAGAGGUAGAGGAAGGGCACUGUGGAAUGGACAGCAGCAGUAUUUCUUGGAUCUUGUCAUCACCCACCUUUAACUGCAGCUAGGGUGGAUUUAUUUGUUCGCUGAUAUGCAGUUUGUUUCUUUUCCUCUUCCUAUAUUGAUUUUUAGAUCUAUCUUUUGGAUCAGCACCAACACUAUGAUGGGCUGCUUGAGCAUCUUGACACGACCACUCCAUUUUCUGGAUUUGGCAUAAAAAAGAUGGGAGAGUCUAAGCAUGCAGUGUGCUCAUCUGCAGAUGGACGACAGACAAUCAAAAACAGCUUUAGAAGAGGGAAAACUCGGAGAUGCAGUCAGUUGUAGGGCGAAGUACUUCUCUGAUUACCAGGCUCUUGCUGUAGUUUUGUAACACACAGGAAACUUUAAUCAGUUUUUUUUUUUUUAAAAAUCCGUUCUUGUUUUUGGUGUUGCUGGGCAUCUUUGAAACAGAAUGAUGAUUCUGCCAACUUUAUCAAAUAUAACCAUUUCUGGGAAUUGUGACUGCUAUCCAUUGUGUUUUUAAUGUUUAUUUACAUCUCUUGUAGAGGAGAAAAUCUAAUGCAAUCAAUCCACUCAUUAGCAAAAGAAGAUUAAAAUGAUAAGGGGAAUCUGAGAGUUGUUAGAGUAAGCGAAAAAUGAGCUUAAACGCCAACAUCUCAAUCCCAAAACAAAGGGAGGGGGAGUGAUGUGGAGUUCCCUUGGAGAGGGGGGAUUUGGUGUUCUAGGACUCCUCACAAAGUGGCAUUCUUUGCUUGGACGGCUGAACAUGUGAAACUAUUUUAACGACUAAUAAUCUUAGUAGGGGUAAAUUUUUGAUGGAUUGUUGUGACAUUUGCAACAAUUCCGGGGAAAAUGUUAACGACACUACAAGACAAACUGCAUAUGGCAGCAUUUAUAAGACAGCGAUUUGUAAAUGCUGCAUAUUAGCCAACGUUUCUGAGAAAAACAUUGUGUUAAAGACCUUCAACCAUGUUUGUAAAACGCCGCAUUUAAGUUGCCGCAAUAGGAUGUCACUUGAACUAGCAAUUAUCAAACCCUAAUCGUGGUGUAAUUGACAGGGGACAUGAACGCGUCACGAUUUAAGUAAGGCCAGAGAAUUCUCUUGCUCUGUUCUCUCUCCACUUUUGUUUCUCUCUCUAACACAUUGUCUUCUCUCUUCUCCCUCUACCCAUCCGUAUUCCAUCUGUGUAAUGACCCUCAUCCUCGUCUUAGCCAUGCUCAUGUGCAUCUGCAUGAUUUUGUUUUGUUAAGCUUGCAUUUGUAGAUUUCGACUUGUUUUACCUAAGUAAAGGUCCCUGUCUUGUUUUGUGCUUGUGUGAUUUACCAUGUGUAUUGCUUGUAUGCUUUGUUCCUUGCUUGGUGUGUGCAGCCUAGGUUCUACCCUUGAACCUCUUAUGCGUAGGACUGUCUUGGAACCAUUUUGGUUGACCUCCACCUUCACCCUGGCAUAUUGGCCGAGAUGUCAUCAUCUAGGCCGAGGUGUGCAUCACCCCAGGCCGAGAUGUUAUCAUCUAGGCAUCCGACAUCCUUGAUCCUUGCACCUAGUGAUCUUGUUCCUGGACUGGUAUAACCUAGGCCGAGGUGUGGCACACUUGGGCCAUGUGUUAUCCUCCCUAACCGAGAUCAUUGAGACCCUUCUUGCCGAAGCCGAUGCUUUAACCUGAGAUCUUCGCCUUGUCAGAAUGCCCUUGUCGCCUUACUUGUCAUACACAUUUUGUCACAUUCUUGUCUUGUCAUUCUGUCACCUUUUUGAGAAGGUCCAACUAGUCGUUGCCACGUGUCCCAGUAGAGGGUUAAGUCAGCCGGCAGAGAGAGGAGUUCUUGAGAGAGAAGUAGAUUUCCAAGCUUGAUCCUUAGAGUUUAAACCGUUUGA